Molecule: small nuclear RNA, 117 nt
Organism: Myotis lucifugus (little brown bat)
Lineage: Eukaryota; Metazoa; Chordata; Mammalia; Chiroptera; Vespertilionidae
Gene: U5
Rfam family: U5 spliceosomal RNA
About the family: U5 RNA is a component of both types of known spliceosome. The precise function of this molecule is unknown, though it is known that the 5' loop is required for splice site selection and p220 binding, and that both the 3' stem-loop and the Sm site are important for Sm protein binding and cap methylation.
Source: Ensembl
AUACUCUGGUUUCUCUUCAGAUCUCAUAAAUCUUUUGCCUUUUACUAAAGAUUUCCAUGGAGAGGAACAGUUAUGAGUUUUUACUCACUUUUUUGAGGCCUUGUUUUUAUGAAGCAA